AGAGUGAACGCUGGCGGUAGGCCUAACACAUGCAAGUCGAACGGCAGCACGGUAAGAGCUUGCUCUUAUGGGUGGCGAGUGGCGGACGGGUGAGGAAUACAUCGGAAUCUACCUUUUGGUGGGGGAUAACGUAGGGAAACUUACGCUAAUACCGCAUACGCCCUUCGGGGGAAAGCCGGGGACCAGCAAUGGCCUGGUGCUGAUAGAUGAGCCGAUGUCGGAUUAGCUAGUUGGUGAGGUAAUGGCUCACCAAGGCGACGAUCCGUAGCUGGUCUGAGAGGAUGAUCAGCCACACUGGAACUGAGACACGGUCCAGACCUCCGUACGGGA
RNAcentral lists this ribosomal RNA (330 nucleotides) under uncultured soil bacterium. Its description in RNAcentral is "bacterial SSU rRNA". It matches the Rfam family "Bacterial small subunit ribosomal RNA", at positions 26 to 346 of the family's 1533-position model. The record is from RNAcentral.